Molecule: long non-coding RNA, 237 nt
Organism: Rhagoletis zephyria (snowberry fruit fly)
Lineage: Eukaryota; Metazoa; Arthropoda; Insecta; Diptera; Tephritidae
Source: RefSeq, a predicted model, not a curated record
UGUAUGCUGCCUAUAACCCAGCAAACAAUUAGGUUUGAUAUACAUUUGAGAAUGAUUUGAAAUCAAAGCCUUUAUCAAAUGUCAAACGUUUGAAAGUGAUUUGAUAUUGAUUUGAAAAUUACAGCUUUCUCAAUAAAAAGGGGAGUUUGAUCUCCAUUUGAUAAUAUGGUUAACUCUCAAAUCAAUUUCAAAGGUUAUUUAUCAAAUGUACUUCAAAUGUGGAAAUAAAAUUUAUAA